Molecule: ribosomal RNA, 496 nt
Filed under: uncultured bacterium
Lineage: Bacteria
Description: partial 16S ribosomal RNA
Rfam family: Bacterial small subunit ribosomal RNA
Source: RNAcentral
AUGAACGCUGGCGGCGUGCCUAAUCCCUGCAAGUCGAGCGAACAGACGAGGAGCUUGCUCCUCUGACGUUAGCGGCGGACGGGUGAGUAACUCGUGGAUAACCUACCUAUAAGACUGGGAUAACUUCGGGAAACCGGAGCUAAUACCGGAUAAUAUAUUGAACCGCAUGGUUCAAUAGUGAAAGACGGUUUUGCUUUCACUUAUAGAUGGAUCCGCGCCGCAUUAGCUAGUUGGUAAGGUAACGGCUUACCAAGGCAACGAUGCGUAGCCGACCUGAGAGGGUGAUCGGCCACACUGGAACUGAGACACGGUCCAGACUCCUACGGGAGGCAGCAGUAGGGAAUCUUCCGCAAUGGGCGAAAGCUUGACGGAGCAACGCCGCGUGAGUGAUGAAGGUCUUCGGAUCGUAAAACUCUGUUAUUAGGGAAGAACAAAUGUGUAAGUAACUAUGCACGUCUUGACGGUACCUAAUCAGAAAGCCACGGCUAACUACGUG